UAUCAUUUUACACUGCUCUAUC
RNAcentral lists this microRNA (22 nucleotides) under Anolis carolinensis (green anole). RNAcentral describes it as "aca-miR-5454". Lineage: Eukaryota; Metazoa; Chordata; Lepidosauria; Squamata; Anolidae. The record is from miRBase by way of RNAcentral.